RNAcentral lists this transfer RNA (74 nucleotides) under Omnitrophica bacterium RIFCSPHIGHO2_02_FULL_46_11. RNAcentral's name for it is "tRNA-Arg". It matches the Rfam family "tRNA". Rfam says of the family: Transfer RNA (tRNA) molecules are approximately 80 nucleotides in length. Their secondary structure includes four short double-helical elements and three loops (D, anti-codon, and T loops). RNAcentral also lists the same sequence under 1 other name. The record is from RNAcentral. Lineage: Bacteria; Pseudomonadati; Candidatus Omnitrophota.
GCGCCCGUAGCUCAAUUGGAUAGAGCGUCUGACUACGGAUCAGAAGGUUGGGGGUUCAAAUCCCUCCGGGCGCA